ACGGCUCAGUAACACGUGGCUAACCUGCCCUCGGGACGAGAACACCCCCGGGAAACUGGGGCUAAUUCUCGAUAGGCGAAGAACUCUGGAAUGAGUCUUCACCCAAAAGACGCUUAGAUCAUGCUUCUAGACGUCGCCCAAGGAUGGGGCCGCGACCGAUCAGGUUGUUGGUGAGGUAACGGCUCACCAAGCCUUUAACCGGUGCGGGCCGUGGGAGCGGGAGCCCGGAGAUGGGCACUGAGACAAGGGCCCAGGCCCUACGGGGCGCAGCAGUCGCGAAAACUUUGCAAUAAGCGAAAGCUUGACAGGGCUAUCCCGAGUGCCAUCCGCUGAGGAAGGCUUUUACCCAGUCUAGUAAGCUGGGGGAAUAAGGAGAGGGCAAGUCUGGUGUCAGCCGCCGCGGUAAUACCAGCUCUCCGAGUGGUGUGGAUGUUUAUUGGGCCUAAAGCAUCCGUAGCUGGCUGAGUUAGUCCCCUGUUAAAUCCACCGAAUCAAUCGUUGGAUUGCGGGGGAUACUGCUCGGCUAGGGGACGGGAGAGGCAGACGGUAUUUCCGGGGUAGGGGUGAAAUCCUAUAAUCCCGGGAAGACCACCAGUGGCGAAGGCUGUCUGCUAGAACGCGCCCGACGGUGAGGGAUGAAAGCUGGGGUAGCGAACCGGAUUAGAUACCCGGGUAGUCCCAGCUGUAAACGAUGCAGGCUAGGUGUUUGGGCGGCCACGUGCCGCUCUAGUGCCGCAGGGAAGCUGUUAAGCCUGCCGCCUGGGGAGUACGAUCGCAAGAUUGAAACUUAAAGGAAUUGGCGGGGGAGCAC
This 811-nucleotide ribosomal RNA is filed under the name uncultured archaeon. Its description in RNAcentral is "bacterial SSU rRNA". It matches the Rfam family "Archaeal small subunit ribosomal RNA", at positions 85 to 879 of the family's 1478-position model. The record is from RNAcentral.